CAUGCAAGUCGAACGCACAGCGAAAGGUGCUUGCACCUUUUCAAGAUGAGUGGCGAACGGGUGAGUAACACGUUGGACAACCUGCCUCAAGGCUGGGGAUAACAUUUGGAAACAGAUGCUAAUACCGAAUAAAACUUAGUGUCGCAUGACACAAAGUUAAAAGGCGCUUCGGCGUCACCUAGAGAUGGAUCCGCGGUGCAUUAGUUAGUUGGUGGGGUAAAGGCCUACCAAGACAAUGAUGCAUAGCCGAGUUGAGAGACUGAUCGGCCACAUUGGGACUGAGACACGGCCCAAACUCCAACGGGAGGCUGCAGUAGGGAAUCUUCCACAAUGGGCGAAAGCCUGAUGGAGCAACGCCGCGUGUGUGAUGAAGGCUUUCGGGUCGUAAAGCACUGUUGUAUGGGAAGAACAGCUAGAAUAGGAAAUGAUUUUAGUUUGACGGUACCAUACCAGAAAGGGACGGCUAAAUACGUGCCAGCAGCCGCGGUAAUACGUAUGUCCCGAGCGUUAUCCGGAUUUAUUGGGCGUAAAGCGAGCGCAGACGGUUUAUUAAGUCUGAUGUGAAAGCCCGGAGCUCAACUCCGGAAUGGCAUUGGAAACUGGUUAACUUGAGUGCAGUAGAGGUAAGUGGAACUCCAUGUGUAGCGGUGGAAUGCGUAGAUAUAUGGAAGAACACCCAGUGGCGAAGGCGGCUUACUGGACUGCAACUGACGUUGAGGCUCGAAAAGUGUGGGUAGCAAACAGGAUUAGAUACCCUGGUAGUCCACACCGUAAACGAUGAACACUAGGUGUUAGGAGGUUUCCGCCUCUUAGUGCCGAAGCUAACGCAUUAAGUGUUCCGCCUGGGGAGUACGACCGCAAGGUUGAAACUCAAAGGAAUUGACGGGGACCCGCACAAGCGGUGGAGCAUGUGGUUUAAUUCGAAGCAACGCGAAGAACCUUACCAGGUCUUGACAUCCUUUGAAGCUUUUAGAGAUAGAAGUGUUCUCUUCGGAGACAAAGUGACAGGUGGUGCAUGGUCGUCGUCAGCUCGUGUCGUGAGAUGUUGGGUUAAGUCCCGCAACGAGCGCAACCCUUAUUGUUAGUUGCCAGCAUUCAGAUGGGCACUCUAGCGAGACUGCCGGUGACAAACCGGAGGAAGGCGGGGACGACGUCAGAUCAUCAUGCCCCUUAUGACCUGGGCUACACACGUGCUACAAUGGCGUAUACAACGAGUUGCCAACCCGCGAGGGUGAGCUAAUCUCUUAAAGUACGUCUCAGUUCGGAUUGUAGUCUGCAACUCGACUACAUGAAGUCGGAAUCGCUAGUAAUCGCGGAUCAGCACGCCGCGGUGAAUACGUUCCCGGGUCUUGUACACACCGCCCGUCACACCAUGGGAGUUUGUAAUGCCCAAAGCCGGUGGCCUAACCUUUUAGGAAGGAGCCUCUAAGGCAGGACCAGACGACUGGGGUGAAGUCGUAACA
Molecule: ribosomal RNA, 1463 nt
Filed under: Leuconostoc mesenteroides
Lineage: Bacteria; Bacillati; Bacillota; Bacilli; Lactobacillales; Lactobacillaceae
Description: 16S ribosomal RNA
Rfam family: Bacterial small subunit ribosomal RNA
Source: RNAcentral